GCGGGUGUAGUUCAAUGGUAGAAUUCCAGCCUUCCAAGCUGGAUACGUGGGUUCGAUUCCCAUCACCCGCUCCA
This 74-nucleotide transfer RNA is filed under the name Ruminococcus sp. RNAcentral's name for it is "tRNA-Gly". It matches the Rfam family "tRNA". Rfam says of the family: Transfer RNA (tRNA) molecules are approximately 80 nucleotides in length. Their secondary structure includes four short double-helical elements and three loops (D, anti-codon, and T loops). The record is from RNAcentral. Lineage: Bacteria; Bacillati; Bacillota; Clostridia; Eubacteriales; Oscillospiraceae.